Molecule: transfer RNA, 73 nt
Filed under: Ailuropoda melanoleuca (giant panda)
Lineage: Eukaryota; Metazoa; Chordata; Mammalia; Carnivora; Ursidae
Rfam family: tRNA
About the family: Transfer RNA (tRNA) molecules are approximately 80 nucleotides in length. Their secondary structure includes four short double-helical elements and three loops (D, anti-codon, and T loops). Further hydrogen bonds mediate the characteristic L-shaped molecular structure. tRNAs have two regions of fundamental functional importance: the anti-codon, which is responsible for specific mRNA codon recognition, and the 3' end, to which the tRNAs corresponding amino acid is attached (by aminoacyl-tRNA synthetases). tRNAs cope with the degeneracy of the genetic code in two manners: having more than one tRNA (with a specific anti-codon) for a particular amino acid; and 'wobble' base-pairing, i.e. permitting non-standard base-pairing at the 3rd anti-codon position.
Source: Rfam by way of RNAcentral
GCCUGGGUGGCUCACUCAGUGGAGCAUGAGAUUUCUGAUCUCAGGGUUGUGAGUUUGAGCCCCACACUAGGGG